RNAcentral lists this ribosomal RNA (253 nucleotides) under uncultured bacterium. RNAcentral's name for it is "partial 16S ribosomal RNA". It matches the Rfam family "Bacterial small subunit ribosomal RNA", at positions 524 to 776 of the family's 1533-position model. The record is from RNAcentral.
UACGGAGGGGGCUAGCGUUGUUCGGAAUUACUGGGCGUAAAGCGCGCGUAGGCGGCUUUGCAAGUUGGAGGUGAAAGCCCGGAGCUUAACUCCGGAACUGCCUUUAAGACUGCAUCGCUAGAAUUGUGGAGAGGUGAGUGGAAUUCCGAGUGUAGAGGUGAAAUUCGUAGAUAUUCGGAAGAACACCAAUGGCGAAAGCGACUCACUGGACACAUAUUGACGCUGAGGUGCGAGAGCGUGGGGAGCAAACAGG